UGGGGAAUAUUGGACAAUGGGCGAAAGCCUGAUCCAGCAAUGCCGCGUGAGUGAUGAAGGCCUUAGGGUUGUAAAGCUCUUUUAACCGGGAUGAUAAUGACAGUACCGGGAGAAUAAGCCCCGGCCAACUCCGUGCCAGCAGCCGCGGUAAUACGGGGGGGGCUCGCGUUGUUCGGAAUUACUGGGCGUAAAGCGCGCGGAGGCGGCUUUGUAAGUUAGAGGUGAAAGCCCGGAGCUCAACUCCGGAACUGCCUUUAAGACUGCAUCGCUAGAAUCGUGGGGAGGUGAGUGGAAUUCCGAGUGUAGAGGUGAAAUUCGUAGAUAUUCGGAAGAACACCAGUGGCGAAGGCGACUCACUGGACACGUAUUGACGCUGAGGUGCGAAAGCGUGGGGAGCAAA
Molecule: ribosomal RNA, 400 nt
Filed under: uncultured bacterium
Lineage: Bacteria
Description: bacterial SSU rRNA
Rfam family: Bacterial small subunit ribosomal RNA
Source: RNAcentral